UUUCUUUUUAUUUAGUUUCACCUGAUGAGAAGUUUGAAUCACAGACUCUUGACAUUUUAAAAUUUAUUAUUUGUUUGUGUAAUUGUGCAAAGGUUUCAAUGAGACCGGCUUAUCGUUCUUCCAAGAAAGUAAAGGACUAUAUAUGACAAGCUUGAAGAUGAAGUGAAGAAGAAUAGAAUGAUGAUAAGCUUGAAGGAGACGCUGCUUUGAACAAGUUCUUCAGUGAGAUAUAUUUGAAUUCUGAUGAGGAUAUGAGGAGUGCUAGAGCAAAUCAUUUGUGAGUAUCUAUCUAUCUAUAUUCCUAUUUAGUCUUUCUUCUCUCAUGGAAAUUACAAUGUUUUUGGCAUUUUGAUUGACUCUUUUGUAGUUUUGCACAAUCAACAGGUGGAAUCUAAUGGGACAGUGCUUUCAAUAGACUGGAAAGAUGUUGGUGCUAAGAAAAUCGAGUGCACUCUUCAUGAUGAUCUAGCGCUCAAGACAUGGGAAAUAUGAUCUUAUAUGAUGUGUGAGUUUUACCUUAAUCUAGACAGAACUCGAAGCCUUGGUCUUAAGGUCUGGUUUCUCUACUUUAUGGACUUAAGGUACUUUGUAUUUUCCAUAACUCAUAUUGUUUAUACGAAACACUGAAAUUUUUAAUCUAAACGUUCUAAUGUAUUCUUUGUUCAUAUGAAUAUAGUAUAAAUAUCAAUAUGUAACAUCGAAUCUUUCAUAUUAACCACAUACAUGUAACAUAAGUAUUAUAUAGUUGUAGAUAUGUAAUUAUUAAUUUAAUAUUAAUGUUAAUGCCCGCACGCAUGUGCGGGCGGUCCACCUAGUUACAAGUAAAAUAUGUGUCAUUUUCGGUAAUUUCUCUUUCCUAAAUAAACUUAAAGGGAAAGGCUCCAGAAUGCACCACCUCAGCCUUCCCUAGCUAAAAUCGUGACACGUGUCGCAUUUUAACACCCAUUAGUUUCAUCCGUUUGUUUUCGAUAAGUGUGUUGUUCCGUCCUUUUUCUUAUUUUAAUGUUUUCCUGGGCUUUGGCUCUGGGUUCUGAACUGUUCUAUUAAUCUUUUGUUAUUUGGCCCAUUUAAAUUUAGGGGUUCUGGUUCUCUGUGUUUUACCGUCGUCGUCCUCUCCUCAUCCAUCCUCUUCCUCUUCCAGAGUCUGGUACACUAGCUCCAUAACGUCUCCGUUUCUUUCUUUAUUUUCAUCAAUUACUUCUCACCCACUAAUCAUCCCACUAUGUAUGAAUUAAAGAUCGUCAUUAUCAUGAUGACGAUCAUCCCACACGUAUCGAGAACGUUUCGUUGAAGGAUCUGUGUACUCGCUAAGUGGUUUUGACGUUACACGGAGCGACAACAAGUUACAACACGUUUCCUCUCUCUGAUGCCCAUGUCUCCAUUCGAUUUACCGAUGGUACAACAUUUGAGGAGCUAACAGAUUCUGAUAAGUCGAUACCAACUGAGAUGUUUCGAUUCCGCAACUACGACCAGUUACUGGCGCUGGCAAAUACCAAUAGACACCUACCACGUAUGCUUUUGAUAUUCUACAUCUGGCGGCUUCCUAAAAUGUGAUCAUAUUAUUCAUUGAACUUGUCUUGAAAACUUACAAGAUAUUCUUGGUGAGUUAACUGCUAUCAGGAGCACAAUCAAUGAUGGAGCACAUGGUUCUCAGCGUGUCAUGCUUACACUACGUAUAGAAAGAAGUUACGAUGUAGACUAUAUUGAACGCAGUCACAUGGUCGGUGGGAUAUAUGUCGUCGGAAUAGGAUAGGAUGCGAAGUUUGUAUGUUUGACGGAUUUUGAUGUCAGUGAUCCUCUUCGACAAAGGGAACAUUAGGGUUGUGGCGAAGAUGCGCUUAAUCUAUGGGGCCAAGCCCGUUCUUUGGUAGUUAAUGACUUGCAUCGAGAUAUGGAGAUAGGCGAUUUGUUGACUUGUCGUCAACUCUCCGCCACCAGUCGUAGGGUUUUCUGUGUGAAGAGUUGUCUUCUAAUCGUCGCAUGACCGCUCGCCAGAUAGGGGCCUGAUGACGGCGGUUUGCUCGGCGAGACUAUCAUGAUCGUUCGUCUCCUUAUGAGCUCUCGAGGCAAGCUUUUGGGCUAAGCUUUCGGGCCAACUCUUGGGCCGAGCUCAUGGACCGAACUCUCUUAUUCAUUAAUGGACUUUGUUGAAAGAUGCGCUAUAUUGUAAAGGGAUGCAAUCUAUCUCUAACACGUGUACGUGUGAACUUUCCAAAUCAUAGACUUUGAUUUUAGUCUUGAA
Molecule: long non-coding RNA, 2242 nt
Organism: Brassica napus (rape)
Lineage: Eukaryota; Viridiplantae; Streptophyta; Magnoliopsida; Brassicales; Brassicaceae
Exons: 2
Source: RefSeq, a predicted model, not a curated record